Molecule: transfer RNA, 88 nt
Filed under: Photobacterium carnosum
Lineage: Bacteria; Pseudomonadati; Pseudomonadota; Gammaproteobacteria; Vibrionales; Vibrionaceae
Also listed under: 1 other name
Description: tRNA-Ser
Rfam family: tRNA
About the family: Transfer RNA (tRNA) molecules are approximately 80 nucleotides in length. Their secondary structure includes four short double-helical elements and three loops (D, anti-codon, and T loops).
Source: RNAcentral
GGUGAGGUGUCCGAGUGGCUGAAGGAGCUCGCCUGGAAAGCGUGUAUACGGCAACGUAUCGAGGGUUCGAAUCCCUCCCUCACCGCCA